RNAcentral lists this long non-coding RNA (586 nucleotides) under Cricetulus griseus (Chinese hamster). RNAcentral's name for it is "lncRNA (ENSCGRG00000025477.1)". Lineage: Eukaryota; Metazoa; Chordata; Mammalia; Rodentia; Cricetidae. The record is from RNAcentral.
AAAGACAGUUCUUUUCUUCCUGGAAGAACAGGCUCUCUUUACACUUUCAUUUACUCUGUUCUUGAAGUCUUUUAGCUGCUCUGUUCAUACAUAAUAUCCAAAGAAUGGGAUCUGACUAUUUCCUCUGACCUUGCCUGUCAUGAACUUGAACUGCCAGGGAGAUCCUCAGAUAACCACCUAACAGGAGGCUUUCUGCCAAAGCACAGAGACAUUGCUGCCCUUCUUUAAGACACCAUCCAGUGUGGCCUGUCAGUCCUCUGAACAGGAGUCCACAUGAUUUGGCCUGUACUCAGCAAGUGGAAUCAUUUGAAGCAUAACAGGCUCCAGAUGUUGUCCUUCACUGGUCUAUGGACGAUGUAUAUCUGCUGCUGUGAUAAAACCUCAUGACCAAAAGCAAUUUUAGGGAGAUUUAGGACACUUUCACUUCCCAAAUAUAAGCUACCAGAAGUGGAGUGCUGCUAUUAGAGGUGUGUCUUUCUAGCUUUGGGUUACCUCACUCAGGUUGUUUUUUUUCUAGUUCUGUCCAUUUGCCUGCGAAUUUUUGGAUGUCAUUGUUCUUACUACUGAGUAGUACUGCUUUGUGUAA